UACGGAGGGUGCAAGCGUUAAUCGGAAUUACUGGGCGUAAAGCGCGCGUAGGCGGUUAGGUAAGUCAGAUGUGAAAGCCCCGGGCUUAACCUGGGAACUGCAUUUGAUACUGCCCGACUAGAGUAUGGUAGAGGGGGGUGGAAUUCCCGGAGUAGCGGUGAAAUGCGUAGAUAUCGGGAGGAACACCAGUGGCGAAGGCGGCCCCCUGGACCAAUACUGACACUCAGGUGCGACAGCGUGGGGAGCAAACAGG
This 253-nucleotide ribosomal RNA is filed under the name uncultured bacterium. Its description in RNAcentral is "partial 16S ribosomal RNA". It matches the Rfam family "Bacterial small subunit ribosomal RNA", at positions 524 to 776 of the family's 1533-position model. The record is from RNAcentral.